CAGAGGUCUCAAGCGUUGUUCGGAUUCAUUGGGCGUAAAGGGUGCGUAGGUGGCGCGGUAAGUCGGGUGUGAAAUCUCGGAGCUCAACUCCGAAAUUGCAUUCGAUACUGCCGUGCUCGAGGACUGGAGAGGAGACUGGAAUUCAUGGUGUAGCAGUGAAAUGCGUAGAGAUCAUGAGGAAGACCAGUGGCGAAGGCGGGUCUCUGGACAGUUCCUGACACUGAGGCACGAAGGCCAGGGGAGCAAACGGGAUUAGAUACCCCGGUAGUCCUGGCAGUAAACGGUGCACGUUUGGUGUGGGAGGAUUCGACCCCUUCCGCGCCGGAGCUAACGCGUUAAACGUGCCGCCUGGGGAGUACGGUCGCAAGACUA
RNAcentral lists this ribosomal RNA (372 nucleotides) under uncultured organism. Its description in RNAcentral is "bacterial SSU rRNA". It matches the Rfam family "Bacterial small subunit ribosomal RNA", at positions 526 to 896 of the family's 1533-position model. The record is from RNAcentral.